GUGAAUCAUCGAAUCUUUGAACGCAAAUUGCACUCUCCGGUUUUCCGGGAGAGUAUGCCUGUUUGAGGGUCUGUUUAAAAAAUAAUCGAGGCUGCUGCUGUGGUGGCGCUUCCGAAUUGAGCCGUCUUUCAAAUGUUAAUUCAUGUCAAAGUGGCUUAAACUUCAUCCAUCCGGUACGAUUAAAGCGUAUUUAAGAUCAAUCUUGAUUAAGAACGCGCAAUGACGUACCAUCUCAUGUAGUACGUUUGACUUGGCGUCGUCAGGAUCAUUCGUAUACGAUACUCAAACUUUUGACCUCAAA
Molecule: unclassified non-coding RNA, 301 nt
Filed under: Funneliformis mosseae
Lineage: Eukaryota; Fungi; Glomeromycota; Glomeromycetes; Glomerales; Glomeraceae
Description: partial contains 5.8S ribosomal RNA and internal transcribed spacer 2
Rfam family: 5.8S ribosomal RNA (bases 1-72)
Source: RNAcentral